AGAGUUUGAUCCUGGCUCAGGAUGAACGCUGGCGGCGUGCUUAACACAUGCAAGUCGAACGAGGUCCAACCUUCGGGUGAAGACCGAGUGGCGAACGGGUGAGUAACACGUGGGGAACCUGCCCUUCUCUCUGGGAUAACGUCGAGAAAUCGGUGCUAAUACCGGAUACUCCUUGCGGAUCGCAUGGUCUGCUCGGGAAAGCUCCGGCGGAGAGGGAUGGCCCCGCGGCCCAUUAGCUAGUUGGUGAGGUAAUGGCCCACCAAGGCGACGAUGGGUAGCCGAGCUGAGAGGCUGAUCGGCCACACUGGGACUGAGACACGGCCCAGACUCCUACGGGAGGCAGCAGUGGGGAAUUUUGUACAAUGGGCGAAAGCCUGAUGCAGCAACGCCGCGUGCGGGAUGAAGGCCCUCGGGUUGUAAACCGCUUUCAGCAGGGACGAAUAUGACGGUACCUGCAGAAGAAGCCCCGGCUAACUACGUGCCAGCAGCCGCGGUAAUACGUAGGGGGCAAGCGUUAUCCG
Molecule: ribosomal RNA, 521 nt
Filed under: uncultured bacterium
Lineage: Bacteria
Description: bacterial SSU rRNA
Rfam family: Bacterial small subunit ribosomal RNA
Source: RNAcentral